CCGGACGUCUGUCUAAAUGUCAUAACGACUCUCGGCAACGGAUAUCUCGGCUCUCGCAUCGAUGAAGAACGUAGCGAAAUGCGAUACUUGGUGUGAAUUGCAGAAUCCCGUGAACCAUCGAGUCUUUGAACGCAAGUUGCGCCCGAAGCCGUCAGGCCGAGGGCACGUCUGCCUGGGCGUCACGCAUGGUCGCCCCCCCUCCCCGCGCGCCGCGCGG
This 217-nucleotide ribosomal RNA is filed under the name Nepeta crispa. RNAcentral's name for it is "5.8S ribosomal RNA". The stretch from base 27 to 182 matches the Rfam family "5.8S ribosomal RNA". From Rfam's summary of the family: 5.8S ribosomal RNA (5.8S rRNA) is a component of the large subunit of the eukaryotic ribosome. It is transcribed by RNA polymerase I as part of the 45S precursor that also contains 18S and 28S rRNA. Lineage: Eukaryota; Viridiplantae; Streptophyta; Magnoliopsida; Lamiales; Lamiaceae. The record is from RNAcentral.